RNAcentral lists this ribosomal RNA (498 nucleotides) under uncultured bacterium. RNAcentral's name for it is "bacterial SSU rRNA". It matches the Rfam family "Bacterial small subunit ribosomal RNA", at positions 355 to 868 of the family's 1533-position model. The record is from RNAcentral.
UAGGGAAUCUUCCACAAUGGGCGAAAGCCUGAUGGAGCAACGCCGCGUGCAGGAUGACGGCUUUCGGGUUGUAAACUGCUUUUAUAUGGGAAGAUUAUGACGGUACCAUAUGAAUAAGGAUUGGCUAACUCCGUGCCAGCAGCCGCGGUCAUACGGAGGAUCCAAGCGUUACCCGGAUUUAUUGGGCGUAAAGCGUUGCGUAGGUGGUUUAGUAAGUGAGGUAUGAAAUGUUAGGGCUCAACCCUGAAGGUGUAUCUCAAACUACUAAACUAGAGCAUAUUAGAGGCAAGUGGAAUUCCUGGUGUAGGAGUGAAAUCCGUAGAUAUCAGGAGGAACACCAAUGGCGAAGGCAGCUUGCUGGGAUAUUGCUGACACUGAGGCACGAAAGCGUGGGGAGCGAACCGGAUUAGAUACCCGGGUAGUCCACGCCGUAAACGAUGGAUACUAGCUGUUGGGCGUAUCGACCCGCUCGGUAGCGAAGCUAACGCGUUAAGUACG